Small nuclear RNA from Emys orbicularis (European pond turtle), 189 nucleotides. RefSeq annotates it as U2 spliceosomal RNA. NCBI's taxonomy places the organism in Eukaryota, Metazoa, Chordata, Testudines, Emydidae. The record is from RefSeq and is a predicted model, not a curated record. The transcript has a single exon.
AUUUUUUUUUAACAUCAUCUUAAUAAAACUUCUAAAUCUGUUCUUAUCAUUUUAAUAUCUGAUAUGUCCUUUAUUUAAGGACUUUAUAUUAAAUUGAUUUUUGAAACAGGGGGCUGGAAUAGGAGCUUGCUCUGUCCACCCCAUGCACUGGCCUGGUAUUGCAGUAUCUCCAGGAACGGUGCAUCUCCU